UACGUAGGCAGCGAGCGUUGUUCGGAAUUACUGGGCGUAAAGAGUGUGUAGGCGGUGCUCUAAGUUCGGUGUGAAAUCUCCUGCUUAACUGGGAGGGUGCGCCGGAAACUGGAGUGCUCGAGCGUGGGAGAGGAAAGCGGAAUUCCUGGUGUAGCGGUGAAAUGCGUAGAUAUCAGGAGGAACACCUGUGGUGUAGACGGCUUUCUGGACCAUAACUGACGCUGAGACACGAAAGCGUGGGUAGCAAACAGG
RNAcentral lists this ribosomal RNA (252 nucleotides) under uncultured bacterium. RNAcentral describes it as "partial 16S ribosomal RNA". It matches the Rfam family "Bacterial small subunit ribosomal RNA", at positions 524 to 776 of the family's 1533-position model. The record is from RNAcentral.